This 663-nucleotide ribosomal RNA is filed under the name Enterobacter sp. RNAcentral's name for it is "bacterial SSU rRNA". It matches the Rfam family "Bacterial small subunit ribosomal RNA", at positions 834 to 1497 of the family's 1533-position model. Lineage: Bacteria; Pseudomonadati; Pseudomonadota; Gammaproteobacteria; Enterobacterales; Enterobacteriaceae. The record is from RNAcentral.
GAGGCGUGGCUUCCGGAGCUAACGCGUUAAGUCGACCGCCUGGGGAGUACGGCCGCAAGGUUAAAACUCAAAUGAAUUGACGGGGGCCCGCACAAGCGGUGGAGCAUGUGGUUUAAUUCGAUGCAACGCGAAGAACCUUACCUACUCUUGACAUCCAGAGAACUUACCAGAGAUGGUUUGGUGCCUUCGGGAACUCUGAGACAGGUGCUGCAUGGCUGUCGUCAGCUCGUGUUGUGAAAUGUUGGGUUAAGUCCCGCAACGAGCGCAACCCUUAUCCUUUGUUGCCAGCGGUCCGGCCGGGAACUCAAAGGAGACUGCCAGUGAUAAACUGGAGGAAGGUGGGGAUGACGUCAAGUCAUCAUGGCCCUUACGAGUAGGGCUACACACGUGCUACAAUGGCGCAUACAAAGAGAAGCGACCUCGCGAGAGCAAGCGGACCUCAUAAAGUGCGUCGUAGUCCGGAUUGGAGUCUGCAACUCGACUCCAUGAAGUCGGAAUCGCUAGUAAUCGUGGAUCAGAAUGCCACGGUGAAUACGUUCCCGGGCCUUGUACACACCGCCCGUCACACCAUGGGAGUGGGUUGCAAAAGAAGUAGGUAGCUUAACCUUCGGGAGGGCGCUUACCACUUUGUGAUUCAUGACUGGGGUGAAGUCGUAACAAGGU